CAACAAGCCAUUGAUCGGUACGGGUUGUGAGAGCAAGAGCCCGGAGAUGGAUUCUGAGACACGAAUCCAGGCCCUACGGGGCGCAGCAGGCGCGAAAACUUUACAAUGCGAGAAAUCGUGAUAAGGGAACCCCGAGUGCCCGUAAAUUCGGGCUGUCCGCCAGUGUAAAUAACUGGUGAAGAAAGGGCCGGGCAAGACCGGUGCCAGCCGCCGCGGUAAUACCGGCGGCUCGAGUGGUGGCCACUAUUACUGGGCUUAAAGCGUCCGUAGCUGGAUUGUUAAGUCUCUUGGGAAAUCCACCGGCUCAACCGAUGGGCGUUCAGGAGAAACUGGCAAUCUAGGGACCGGGAGAGGUGAGAGGUACUCCAGGGGUAGGAGUGAAAUCCUGUAAUCCUUGGGGGACCACCUGUGGCGAAGGCGUCUCACUAGAACGGCUCCGACAGUGAGGGACGAAAGCUGGGGGAGCAAACCGGAUUAGAUACCCGGGUAGUCCCAGCUGUAAACGAUGCGCGUUAGGUGUAUCGGUGACCACGAGUCAUCGAGGUGCCGAAGGGAAACCGUGAAACGUGCCGC
RNAcentral lists this ribosomal RNA (573 nucleotides) under uncultured archaeon. RNAcentral describes it as "bacterial SSU rRNA". It matches the Rfam family "Archaeal small subunit ribosomal RNA", at positions 250 to 827 of the family's 1478-position model. The record is from RNAcentral.